CGGACGGGAUAAACGCUGAAAGCAUCUAAGCGUGAAGCCCUCCCCAAGAUGAAUUCUCCCUAUGAGUCCCCUGGAAGACUACCAGGUUGAUAGGACGGAGGUGUACAGGCGUAUAUCUAAAGGCCUUGAGCUGACCGUUACUAAUCGGACCACUGGCUUGGUCGUUC
This 167-nucleotide ribosomal RNA is filed under the name Planctomycetota bacterium. Its description in RNAcentral is "Planctomycetes bacterium (soil metagenome) partial 23S ribosomal RNA". It matches the Rfam family "Bacterial large subunit ribosomal RNA", at positions 2756 to 2925 of the family's 2925-position model. The record is from RNAcentral. Lineage: Bacteria; Pseudomonadati; Planctomycetota.